This 653-nucleotide long non-coding RNA is filed under the name Phoenix dactylifera (date palm). Its description in RNAcentral is "long non-coding RNA (PDAC_LNC005016)". Lineage: Eukaryota; Viridiplantae; Streptophyta; Magnoliopsida; Arecales; Arecaceae. The record is from RNAcentral.
UUGAAUCUAACCAAUAAUACAAGAAAAUAUAAAAUAUAUAAAUAAACCUAUCUCAUCCUAUCAACUUAAGCUUUUAAAACAAGUGGUGAUUUUAACAUAGUAUCAGAACAGAGGUCCCGAGUUCAAACCCUGUCUCUGCACUCUUUAACUCCAUUAUUACAAAUUUCAAAUGAUGGGCUCACCCAUUAAAAAAAAAGUCUGGCCCACAUGUGAGGCUUAAGCUUUUGAGACAAGUAGUGAUUUUAAUAAAUCUAAUUAAUAUUACUCCUAAAAAUACAUAGUAAAGUUUGUCUGGUCGUCCUUAUGUAAUUAACUAAAAUUCCCUCUCUUAAAUUAAAUAAAAUAGUAUAAGUACGAUUGUUGUGGAUGAUGUGGUGCAUCCUUUUUCUCCCUUUCUUCUGCCUCUCGCUCUAGCCAUUCUUCUUCUCUGAUAAAAUCACAUCUUAAUUAAUCACAAUCCAUUUCCUCCUGUGGACCUCCUAUUCUCCUAUGUUAUGAAACCUAGCUCAUCAAUUGCUUCAUUGCAUCCGUUUAUUCUUUCCAAAUUAACUAUAUCUAUAACGCUGCUCUCUUCCAUCGGCAGUUUCUCUACCCUCUUCCCUCUUUUUUGGGGAGGGAUCCAGAGUUGGAAGGCCUCCCCCUCUCUCUCAAAC